ACUUCUUGAAGGCUUUGAAAGAUCUCUUGAUCAAGGUUGAACAAUAGGCUUGAAAAAUCCUCUCUUUGAAUGCUCUUGAAUCUCUUUCACAAUCUCUCGUGUAUAUUGUGGAUCACUUGUCUCUCUCGUGUAGAUUUUGGAUCCUCUUUUCUUUUUCUCUUGAAUGUUUCGUUGAUCACUUCGUGUAUAUUUUGGAUCCUCUCAAUUGUAUAUUUGUUUGAUCUACCAAUUUCUUUCACCAUUUGAAACCUUUUAUAGCCUUAAGAAACAAGAGAAAAUAUAUUAGGCAGAAAAAGAGCCGUUAGAGCAUUUUUAGGAAGCAUAAAAGGCAAUUAAAAUGGGCAAAAAACU
Molecule: long non-coding RNA, 351 nt
Filed under: Elaeis guineensis (African oil palm)
Lineage: Eukaryota; Viridiplantae; Streptophyta; Magnoliopsida; Arecales; Arecaceae
Description: long non-coding RNA (EGUI_LNC063893)
Source: RNAcentral